GUACCCCAAACCGACACAGGUGGUCGGGUAGAGAAUACCAAGGCGCUUGAGAGAACUCGGGUGAAGGAACUAGGCAAAAUGGUACCGUAACUUCGGGAGAAGGUACGCUCUUGAUGGUGAAGUCCCUCGCGGAUGGAGCUGACGAGAGUCGCAGAUACCAGGUGGCUGCAACUGUUUAUUAAAAACACAGCACUGUGCAAAAUCGCAAGAUGACGUAUACGGUGUGACGCCUGCCCGGUGCCGGAAGGUUAAUUG
RNAcentral lists this ribosomal RNA (255 nucleotides) under Vibrio cholerae. RNAcentral describes it as "partial 23S ribosomal RNA". It matches the Rfam family "Bacterial large subunit ribosomal RNA", at positions 1644 to 1883 of the family's 2925-position model. The record is from RNAcentral. RNAcentral also lists the same sequence under 1 other name. Lineage: Bacteria; Pseudomonadati; Pseudomonadota; Gammaproteobacteria; Vibrionales; Vibrionaceae.